UUUUUUUUUUUUUUUUUUUUCAUAUUAUGUCGUUGUAGCAUCAAUUUUUCUGUUUUAUGUAUUUCAGGAUUAUUCUUCCUCACUUCAUUUCGUCUUCUUCCUCUCUUUAUUUUUCCUAGUGUGAUAUAUAUCUGCAUUAUAUAUAUCUUCGUCCACACAUUUUUCAGAAAAUUCCCAUUUCACAUGUUGUGAAAAUCUCAGAAGUCAACGCUCAAUGAAGUCUUAAUUAGAGACAGAAAAAUUCCCAUUUUAAGUUUAAUCUCUCCAACAAAAAAAAAAAAUUGAUAUUCGUACAUUCAUUUUAGUAUUCAACACUCCAAUUCACUCGAUGAAUAAUACAGUACGUCUCUAAGGAGUGCCAGAAACUAACUGAAGAGGUCCAAAUAUCAAUUCCCCUCAGAAAUGGGCAUAUUCAAGGAAGAUGAAUGCAUUGCUAUUUGCGAGUGGAUAUGAAUGUUCGACCUGAAAAUCAAAAGACUCGUCGAAGCCGUGAGGCCUCAGGCUCACACAAUGACACUACUGUAGUUUGCCUUGGUCGGGAGUGUUUGAAUUGACGGAUCAGAAGACAGAACGGCGAACCCGUUCGGUUACAGAUGUCUCAGCAUGACCCCACUCACUCCAUCUCUUACUCCAUCGGAUUUCACAGCCAAGUUUCCCAAUUUCAGAUUGGAUAUAAGAAAGGAAAGCCUACGGCCCCCACCUUUAGCAGCUACUUUGACUCGCCACUGUGCUUCGUCUGCUCCACUCGGAUGCCUGCCUUCUGGAAAAUUUAAUUUGUGAUUCGUGAUGGUCAUUCCUGCUUCCAGAAGAGUUACUAAUUUGAGACCUUAUAAGUUCGGGCAUUCGAGAAUGUGAGAAAAAAAAAAAAAGAGCACUCGUGAGUUAUUAAAUUCUAAAGUUACAGAAAAUUAAUAGACAUCCUUUGACAGAAGCUACACGCUACUUGCAGUGCUCCUCCAAUCCAAACUCGAUGAAAUUAAUGAGCGCGAGGAUAAAUGCUUAUUAUUUGCUUUUGGUUGUGGUGGUGAGUUGGGAAUUAGACUAUUUGGUGAGCACAGAAGGGGCAAUGCAGCUUUUAUGCUUCUAUUCUAUCAAAUGUACCUUACUUAUAGGCUUCAUUCAUCAGCCAGCGCACUGAGGCAACCAUCUCAUUUUAUGAAAUACCAAUGUACCAUCUUUCCUUAGAAAUUAAUUCGUUAUAUAUCCUUAAACAGAUCCCCUACUGCCACUUAGCCACGGGUUUGUUUGGAUUGUGAAUUAUUAGAGAUAUUUUUACUGUAGCACUUUUUUGUGAUGUGAUGUAUGUGAGAUAAAAAGGUAAUUGGGAAGAUAAAAAGGUGCGUUGAAAAUUGUAAUGAUGAUGUAAGCAAAUAUAUUUUGGCAAAUAAACCGCAAUGGGUUCUGUAGCGGUUAUUCUGUAGCCGGUCCUUUAUGACACCACAAGAAUUAGCAAUAAUAGGGACCAUUUGCAUAUGUUGCAAGGGCGCACUGGUCCUAAAUGGGACAUUGCCUCUGAGGACGACAGAAAUGGCCUUCAACUUUAAGCAAAGCAUUUAAGUUUAAAAAAAAAAAAAAAAGGGAACCAUUUAAGUUUCUAGAGCAAGCAAAGCUGACACCAACCCCUCUUCACUCGGACACUUCAGUACUCCUUUUCUUUUUCAAGUCAUCGAGACAAAACAAACACACUCAUCGAUACUUCUUCAUUACAAUAAUGUGAACACACACAGUCACACACUGGCGCUGCCAUGAUUACCCGAAAAGAGAAGCUGAGUACCAACAGCAACAACUACCAUUUUAACUAACCCCCAUUGAAAUAAUAAUAACACCUCAAAAAGGCUAAAUUCUUGUCCUCUAAAUUGAAAUGUGCAGAGGACCAAUGUUUAAUUUAGGUCAACAUGGGAAACGUGGCAACUGUGAUCAUGUCUAGUAAUGAAAUUAAGGUCAGUGAACUCAUUAUCCUCACAUGCAGAAGAAGAAGAGCCAGUGGUCCAUGCACCCACCCCAUCUCUCAGGCUCAGCAGCUAAUUUUUUCAGUUGAUUAAGUAGGAAUCGGAUGUUUAACCAACCUGAAAUAAACAACUACUGCUCUUCCUAGUACUUGUACGCGCUCUUCUUACUUAAUUCUGGCACCUAAUCGGAACUUUAUCAUCAUAUAUAAUAUAGGUGCUUCUUGUUUGGGUUCCCCGUACGAAGAUGCGUAUAUUUGGCUAAUCUGUAAGAACAGCUUCAAAUGUAGGUUAUACAAAUGUAUCGUUGCUGACAAAAAAAAAAAAAAAUUACAAAAUUUUCCUCAAGUCAAGUGAUGCAGUUAUUUAAAAGCUGGAAAUAAAUAUCGAACCGCGAGACUAGCAUAAAUUAUUUACGAACUCAUAAAUAGGACAGAUAUCUUGUAAUCUGCAAGGAGAUUCAAAAGACAAGUUAUAUACAAAAAAAAAUAUUUUUCUGGCGGAUAGUGAUGAGCCCAUGAUCAAUUUGUAUUUAAAUAAUAUUUUAAAUAAUAAAAAAAAAAAAAGAGAAUAAAAUCGUCUAUUCUCUCAAACUUCAGAAAGGACGUACAACUGAUUUUAACUCAAGUUCAAUAUUUAUACCUCUUUUAUUUUUCCUUUUUUUUUUGUAUAAUAAAACCAAUUGUCGUACCUCUUAAUUGUCUUGUAGAUAUUGAGUCUAGUAGUAAUACUUACUUUCUGCUGACGUACUACUAUUUGUCGAAGAUUGUGUUUGGAUUGCAUUUUUCAUAAUUUUUCAUGAAAAAAAUACUGUAGCGAUUUGAUGUAUGUGAGGAAAAAAGGUAAUAAGGAAAUGCGAUCACGAAAAACGACAUAAUUUUUUGACGAAAAAUAGCAAUCCAAACAAGGUGUUUCGGUGUAUUUUUCAAAGUUGCCCUGCAGGAUCAAAUUUUACCUCAACGUUCAUUUCUAGCAAAGAACUUCCGGAACGGAAUGGUAAUUACGAAUUUGACGACAAUCAUCGAAAUUCAUACAUUUCUAAAAGGAACUUCCGGAGCCGAAUGGUAACUAUUACUGUAACACCCAAGCCAAGGCACCGCCAUAAUACUCGAAGUUUUAACCGCUCAAAAGCAUAGAUAAAUUGUAUUACUCAUUUCUGCAAGGCCGCCACCACCAGCAAUGUUCAAAGCAUAGGCAACCAGUUGGUACUGCAAACUUAAAAAUGGCGGAGAGAUACAGCAGCUAAAUUUGCACUUUUACAGAAAUUUAUUUGGCAUAUUACAAACUUGCAUAUUAAAAUUACAGAAAUUUAUUUGGCAUAUUAAAAACUUGCAUACUAAAAUUACAGGUAGAGCAGCUAAGUUGGGUCUCUGGAAAUCAGUUUCUCCCACAAGAAUGAUAGUAUAAAACAUCGUGCCUUCCAACUAACUGAUUCCGACUCGAAACAGCAUUGCAUCCGGAGAGAGCUCC
This 3416-nucleotide long non-coding RNA is filed under the name Coffea arabica (coffee). Its description in RNAcentral is "long non-coding RNA (CARA_LNC000753)". The record is from RNAcentral. Lineage: Eukaryota; Viridiplantae; Streptophyta; Magnoliopsida; Gentianales; Rubiaceae.